Molecule: ribosomal RNA, 746 nt
Filed under: uncultured bacterium
Lineage: Bacteria
Description: bacterial SSU rRNA
Rfam family: Bacterial small subunit ribosomal RNA
Source: RNAcentral
GCGAUUUCGGUCAAAUCAUGUAAAAUCUUAGUGGCGGACGGGUGAGUAACGCGUGGGUAACCUGCCUUACACUGGGGGAUAACACUUAGAAAUAGGUGCUAAUACCGCAUAAGCGCACGAAGCCGCAUGGAUUUGUGUGAAAAACUCCGGUGGUGUAAGAUGGACCCGCGUCUGAUUAGCUUGUUGGCGGGGUAACGGCCCACCAAGGCGACGAUCAGUAGCCGGCCUGAGAGGGUGGACGGCCACAUUGGGACUGAGACACGGCCCAAACUCCUACGGGAGGCAGCAGUGGGGGAUAUUGGACAACGGGGGGAACCCUGAUCCAGCGACGCCGCGUGAGUGAAGAAGUAUUUCGGUAUGUAAAGCUCUGUCAGCAGGGAAGAAAGAAAUGACGGUACCUGACCAAGAAGCCCCGGCUAACUACGUGCCAGCAGCCGCGGUAAUACGUAGGGGGCAAGCGUUAUCCGGAAUUACUGGGUGUAAAGGGAGCGUAGACGGCGAUGCAAGUCUGAAGUGAAAGCCCGGGGCUCAACCCCGGGACUGCUUUGGAAACUGUAUGGCUGGAGUGCUGGAGAGGCAAGCGGAAUUCCUAGUGUAGCGGUGAAAUGCGUAGAUAUUAGGAAGAACACCAGUGGCGAAGGCGGCUUGCUGGACAGUAACUGACGUUGAGGCUCGAAAGCGUGGGGAGCAAACAGGAUUAGAUACCCUGGUAGUCCACGCCGUAAACGAUGAUUACUAGGUGUCGG